Galeopterus variegatus (Sunda flying lemur) is the source of this 75-nucleotide non-coding RNA. The record is from the annotation of a RefSeq genome assembly. Lineage: Eukaryota; Metazoa; Chordata; Mammalia; Dermoptera; Cynocephalidae.
GGCCAGUUAGCUCAGUUGAUUAGAGCAUGGGGCUGAUAACACCAAGGUCCAGGGUUCAAUUCCCUGCACUGGCCA